RNAcentral lists this ribosomal RNA (497 nucleotides) under uncultured bacterium. RNAcentral describes it as "partial 16S ribosomal RNA". It matches the Rfam family "Bacterial small subunit ribosomal RNA", at positions 28 to 507 of the family's 1533-position model. The record is from RNAcentral.
GAUGAACGCUGGCGGCGUGCCUAAUACAUGCAAGUCGAGCGAACGGAUGAGAAGCUUGCUUCUCUGAUGUUAGCGGCGGACGGGUGAGUAACACGUGGAUAACCUACCUAUAAGACUGGGAUAACUUCGGGAAACCGGAGCUAAUACCGGAUAAUAUUUUGAACCGCAUGGUUCAAAAGUGAAAGACGGUCUUGCUGUCACUUAUAGAUGGAUCCGCGCUGCAUUAGCUAGUUGGUAAGGUAACGGCUUACCAAGGCAACGAUGCAUAGCCGACCUGAGAGGGUGAUCGGCCACACUGGAACUGAGACACGGUCCAGACUCCUACGGGAGGCAGCAGUAGGGAAUCUUCCGCAAUGGGCGAAAGCCUGACGGAGCAACACCGCGUGAGUGAUGAAGGUCUUCGGAUCGUAAAACUCUGUUAUUAGGGAAGAACAUAUGUGUAAGUAACUGUGCACAUCUUGACGGUACCUAAUCAGAAAGCCACGGCUAACUACGUG